GAUGAAGAACGUAGCGAAAUGCGAUAAGUAAUGCGAAUUGCAGAAUUUCCGUGAGUCAUCGAAUCUUUGAACGCACAUUGCGCCCACUGGUAUUCCGGUGGGCAUGCCUGUUCGAGCGUCAUUAUCCUCCCUCAAACCCCGGGUUUGGUGUUGGACCCAAGUUGUGUGAACAACUGGUCUCAAAGACAAUGACGGCGUCCGUGGGACCCUCGGUGCAACGAGCUUUUAGGAGCACGCAUCGAGUUGCAAGGACCUUCCGGGCAGGUCUCCUUUACCAUUUUACAAGGUUGACCUCGGAUCAGGUAGGAAUACCCGCUGAACUUAAGCAUAUCAAUAAGCGGAGGA
RNAcentral lists this unclassified non-coding RNA (345 nucleotides) under soil metagenome. Its description in RNAcentral is "partial contains 5.8S ribosomal RNA, internal transcribed spacer 2, and large subunit ribosomal RNA". The stretch from base 1 to 121 matches the Rfam family "5.8S ribosomal RNA", at positions 35 to 154 of the family's 154-position model. The record is from RNAcentral.